Molecule: ribosomal RNA, 460 nt
Filed under: uncultured bacterium
Lineage: Bacteria
Description: partial 16S ribosomal RNA
Rfam family: Bacterial small subunit ribosomal RNA
Source: RNAcentral
CCUACGGGCGGCAGCAGUGAGGAAUAUUGGUCAAUGGGCGCUAGCCUGAACCAGCCAAGUAGCGUGAAGGAUGACUGCCCUAUGGGUUGUAAACUUCUUCUAUAUGGGAAUAAAGUGCAGUAUGUAUACUGCUUUGCAUGUACCUUAUGAAUAAGGAUCGGCUAACUCCGUGCCAGCAGCCGCGGUAAUACGGAGGAUCCGAGCGUUAUCCGGAUUUAUUGGGUUUAAAGGGAGCGUAGGCGGGUGGUUAAGUCAGUUGUGAAAGUUUGCGGCUCAACCGGAAAAUUGCAGUUGAUACUGGCAUGCUAGAGUACAGUAGAGGUAGGCGGAAUUCGAGGUGUAGCGGUGAAAUGCGUAGAGAUGACGAGGAACCCCGAUUGCGAAGGCAGCAUACCGGUGCACAACUGACGCUCAGGCACGAAAGCGUGGGUAGCGAACAGGAUUAGAUACCCGUGUAGUC